GUGGGGGAUAUUGCACAAUGGGGGAAACCCUGAUGCAGCAACGCCGCGUGAGGGAAGACGGUUUUCGGAUUGUAAACCUCUGUCCUCAGGGACGAUAAUGACGGUACCUGAGGAGGAAGCUCCGGCUAACUACGUGCCAGCAGCCGCGGUAAUACGUAGGGAGCAAGCGUUGUCCGGAUUUACUGGGUGUAAAGGGUGCGUAGGCGGCUUGGCAAGUCGGGCGUGAAAGCUAUGGGCUUAACCCAUAAAUUGCGUUCGAAACUGUUGAGCUUGAGUGAAGUAGAGGUAGGCGGAAUUCCCGGUGUAGCGGUGAAAUGCGUAGAGAUCGGGAGGAACACCAGUGGCGAAGGCGGCCUACUGGGCUUUAACUGACGCUGAGGCACGAAAGUGUGGGUAGCAAACAGGAUUAGAAACCCGAGUAGUCC
This 425-nucleotide ribosomal RNA is filed under the name uncultured bacterium. RNAcentral describes it as "bacterial SSU rRNA". It matches the Rfam family "Bacterial small subunit ribosomal RNA", at positions 354 to 796 of the family's 1533-position model. The record is from RNAcentral.